This 1127-nucleotide ribosomal RNA is filed under the name Kocuria sp. RNAcentral describes it as "bacterial SSU rRNA". It matches the Rfam family "Bacterial small subunit ribosomal RNA", at positions 84 to 1218 of the family's 1533-position model. The record is from RNAcentral. Lineage: Bacteria; Bacillati; Actinomycetota; Actinomycetes; Micrococcales; Micrococcaceae.
UGGUUGGAUGAGUGGCGAACGGUUGAUAAAUACGUGAGUGACCUGCCUUUGACUCUGGGAUAAGCCUGGGAAACUGGGUCUAAUACCGGAUGCGACUACUGCCCGCAUGGGCUGGUGGUGGAAAGGGUUAUGUACUGGUCUUAGAUGGGCUCACGGCCUAUCAGCUGGUUGGUGGGGUAAUGGCCUACCAAGGCGACGACGGGUAGCCGGCCUGAGAGGGUGACCGGCCACACUGGGACUGAGACACGGCCCAGACUCCUACGGGAGGCAGCAGUGGGGAAUAUUGCACAAUGGGCGCAAGCCUGAUGCAGCGACGCCGCGUGAGGGAUGACGGCCUUCGGGUUGUAAACCUCUUUCAGCAGGGAAGAAGCGGAAGUGACGGUACCUGCAGAAGAAGCGCCGGCUAACUACGUGCCAGCAGCCGCGGUAAUACGUAGGGCGCAAGCGUUGUCCGGAAUUAUUGGGCGUAAAGAGCUCGUAGGCGGCUUGUCGCGUCUGCUGUGAAAGCCCGGGGCUUAACUCCGGGUGUGCAGUGGGUACGGGCAGGCUAGAGUGCAGUAGGGGUAACUGGAAUUCCUGGUGUAGCGGUGAAAUGCGCAGAUAUCAGGAGGAACACCGAUGGCGAAGGCAGGUUACUGGGCUGUUACUGACGCUGAGGAGCGAAAGCAUGGGGAGCGAACAGGAUUAGAUACCCUGGUAGUCCAUGCCGUAAACGUUGGGCACUAGGUGUGGGGGACAUUCCACGUUUUCCGCGCCGUAGCUAACGCAUUAAGUGCCCCGCCUGGGGAGUACGGCCGCAAGGCUAAAACUCAAAGGAAUUGACGGGGGCCCGCACAAGCGGCGGAGCAUGCGGAUUAAUUCGAUGCAACGCGAAGAACCUUACCAAGGCUUGACAUACACCGGAUCGUUCCAGAGAUGGUUCUUCCCUUUUGGGCUGGUGUACAGGUGGUGCAUGGUUGUCGUCAGCUCGUGUCGUGAGAUGUUGGGUUAAGUCCCGCAACGAGCGCAACCNUCGUUCUAUGUUGCCAGCACGUGAUGGUGGGGACUCAUAGGAGACUGCCGGGGUCAACUCGGAAGGAAGGUGGGGAUGACGUCAAAUCAUCAUGCCCCUUAUGGCUUGGGCUUCC